CCUACGGGAGGCAGCAGUGAGGAAUAUUGGUCAAUGGACGAGAGUCUGAACCAGCCAAGUAGCGUGAAGGAUGACUGCCCUAUGGGUUGUAAACUUCUUUUAUAUGGGAAUAAAAUGUUCCACGUGUGGGAUUUUGUAUGUACCAUAUGAAUAAGGAUCGGCUAACUCCGUGCCAGCAGCCGCGGUAAUACGGGGGAUCCGAGCGUUAUCAGGAUUUAUUGGGUUUAAAGGGAGCGUAGGUGGAUUGUUAAGUCAGUUGUGAAAGUUUGCGGCUCAACCGUAAAAUUGCAGUUGAAACUGGCAGUCUUGAGUACAGUAGAGGUGAGCGGAAUUCGUGGUGUAGCGGUGAAAUGCUUAGAUAUCACGAAGAACUCCGAUUGCGAAGGCAGUUCACUGGACUGCAACUGACACUGAGGCUCGAAAGUGUGGGUAUCAAACAGGAUUAGAUACCCUGGUAGUC
This 460-nucleotide ribosomal RNA is filed under the name uncultured bacterium. RNAcentral's name for it is "partial 16S ribosomal RNA". It matches the Rfam family "Bacterial small subunit ribosomal RNA", at positions 338 to 795 of the family's 1533-position model. The record is from RNAcentral.